AAUAGUUUUUUAAAUGGAAACUGGGAUGAAUGGAAGGAUGAGAUUUAUACUGUCUUAAAUUAAAUUAUUGAAUUUAUAAUUUAAGUAAAAAUACUUAAAUGGGAAUAUGGGACGAGAAGACCCUAUAGAAUUUUAUAUAAAUUUAUUAUAUAAUUUUAAAAAUAAAAAUUUAAUAAAUUUAUAUUUUAUUGGGAGGAUAGAUAAAUUAAAAGAACUUUAAUAAUAAUAAAUCCAUUAAUUUAUGAAUUAUUUAAUAAAUAAAUGAGUGGCUAUAAAGUUUAAGUAGAAUUAAUUACCUUAGGGAUAACAGCGUGAUAUCUUUGGAGAGAUCUUAUUAAUAAAGAUGAUUGC
RNAcentral lists this ribosomal RNA (351 nucleotides) under Pheidole peruviana. RNAcentral's name for it is "partial 16S large subunit ribosomal RNA". Lineage: Eukaryota; Metazoa; Arthropoda; Insecta; Hymenoptera; Formicidae. The record is from RNAcentral.